This 278-nucleotide ribosomal RNA is filed under the name Pirata subpiraticus. RNAcentral's name for it is "partial 12S ribosomal RNA". The record is from RNAcentral. Lineage: Eukaryota; Metazoa; Arthropoda; Arachnida; Araneae; Lycosidae.
UAAAACCUAAAUAUUAUGGCGGCAUUUCAUCUUAUUAGAGGAGCUUGUAUUUUAAUCGACAACCCACGUUAUAUUUUACUUUAGUAAUAAAAAUUUAUAUAUCGCCGUCACAGAACUAAUUUAAAAAUAUUAUUCUUAAUAAAAAAUAAAAAAAUAGGUCAAGGUGUAAUUUAUAUUAAAGAUAAUAUGGGCUACUUUAAAAAUAUUUAAGAAUUAUUUUUCAAUAGAAAUUUAUGAAAAAGGAUUUAAAAGUAAUAUUUAAAUAAAAUUUAUAUAUG